This 497-nucleotide ribosomal RNA is filed under the name uncultured bacterium. RNAcentral's name for it is "partial 16S ribosomal RNA". It matches the Rfam family "Bacterial small subunit ribosomal RNA", at positions 28 to 507 of the family's 1533-position model. The record is from RNAcentral.
GAUGAACGCUGGCGGCGUGCCUAAUACAUGCAAGUCGAGCGAACAGACCAGUAGCUUGCUCCUCUGACGUUAGCGGCGGACGGGUAAGUAGCACGUGGCUAACCUACCUAUAUGACUGGGCUAACUUCGGCAGACCGGAGCUAAUAACGGGUAAUACAUUUAACCGCAUGGUUUAGUAGUGAAAGACGGUUUUGCUGUCGAUUCUCGGUGGAUCCGCGCCUCAUUAGCGAAUUGGUAGGGUAACGGCUUGCCAAGGCAACGAUGCGUAGCCGACCUGAGCGGGGGAAGCGCCACACUGGAACUGAGCCGCGGUCCAGACUCUGAGGGGAGGCAGCAGUAGGGAAGCGUGCGCGAUGGGGGAAAGCCUGAAGGAGGAACGCCGGGUUGGUGAUGAAGGUCUGCGUGUCGUAAAACUCUGUUAGUGGUGAAGAACAAAUGUGUAAGUAACGAUGCUCGUCGUGACGGUACCUGGUCAGAAAGCCACGGCUAACUACGUG